GUCCAUGCCGUAACGAUGUCUACUAGCCGUUGGGUCUUUGAGACUUUAGUGGCGCAGCUAACGCGAUAAGUAGACCGCCUGGGAGUACGGUCGCAAGACUAAACUCAAAUGAAUUGACGGGGCCCGCACAAGCGGUGGAGCAUGUGGUUUAAUUCGAUGCAACGCGAAGAACCUUACCUGGUCUUGACAUACAGAGAACUUUCCAGAGAUGGAUUGGUGCCUUCGGGAACUCUGAUACAGGUGCUGCAUGGCUGUCGU
Molecule: ribosomal RNA, 258 nt
Filed under: uncultured bacterium
Lineage: Bacteria
Description: partial 16S ribosomal RNA
Rfam family: Bacterial small subunit ribosomal RNA
Source: RNAcentral